Molecule: ribosomal RNA, 1163 nt
Filed under: Acinetobacter baumannii
Lineage: Bacteria; Pseudomonadati; Pseudomonadota; Gammaproteobacteria; Moraxellales; Moraxellaceae
Description: partial 23S ribosomal RNA
Rfam family: Bacterial large subunit ribosomal RNA
Source: RNAcentral
GUUGUAUAGUCAAGUAAUUAAGUGCAUGUGGUGGAUGCCUUGGCAGUCAGAGGCGAUGAAAGACGUGAUAGCCUGCGAAAAGCUCCGGGGAGGCGGCAAAUAUCCUUUGAUCCGGAGAUGUCUGAAUGGGGGAACCCACCUACUUUAAGGUAGGUAUUGCAACAUGAAUACAUAGUGUUGCAAGGCGAACGAGGGGAAGUGAAACAUCUCAGUACCCUUAGGAAAAGAAAUCAAUUGAGAUUCCCUCAGUAGCGGCGAGCGAACGGGGAUCAGCCCCUUAAGUUAUGUGUGUUUUAGUGGAACGCUCUGGGAAGUGCGAACGUAGAGGGUGAUAUUCCCGUACACGAAAGGGCACACAUAAUGAUGACGAGUAGGGCGAGGCACGUGAAACCUUGUCUGAAUAUGGGGGGACCAUCCUCCAAGGCUAAAUACUCCUGACUGACCGAUAGUGAACCAGUACCGUGAGGGAAAGGCGAAAAGAACCCCUGUGAGGGGAGUGAAAUAGAUCCUGAAACCGCAUGCAUACAAGCAGUGGGAGCACCUUCGUGGUGUGACUGCGUACCUUUUGUAUAAUGGGUCAGCGACUUAUAUUCAGUAGCGAGGUUAACCGUAUAGGGGAGCCGUAGAGAAAUCGAGUCUUAAUAGGGCGUUUAGUUGCUGGGUAUAGACCCGAAACCAGGCGAUCUAUCCAUGAGCAGGUUGAAGGUUGGGUAACACUAACUGGAGGACCGAACCCACUGUCGUUGAAAAGCCAGGGGAUGACUUGUGGAUAGGGGGGAAAGGCUAAUCAAGCCUGGUGAUAGCUGGUUCUCCCCGAAAGCUAUUUAGGUAGCGCCUCGGACGAAUACCAUAGGGGGUAGAGCACUGUUUCGGCUAGGGGGUCAUCCCGACUUACCAAACCGAUGCAAACUCCGAAUACCUAUGAGUACUAUCCGGGAGACAGACUGCGGGUGCUAACGUCCGUAGUCAAGAGGAAAACAAUCCAGACCGCCAGCUAAGGCCCCAAAAUCAUAGUUAAGUGGGAAACGAUGUGGGAAGGCAUAGACAGCUAGGAGGUUGGCUUAGAAGCAGCCACCCUUUAAAGAAAGCGUAAUAGCUCACUAGUCGAGUCGGCCUGCGCGGAAGAUGUAACGGGGCUAAAACUAUGUGCCGAAGCUGCGGAU